Molecule: non-coding RNA, 546 nt
Organism: Pelobates cultripes (western spadefoot toad)
Lineage: Eukaryota; Metazoa; Chordata; Amphibia; Anura; Pelobatidae
Source: the annotation of a GenBank genome assembly
GUAGAAUUGCACUUUAUUUAAUGCAACUGUAUUUUCUUUUGCACAAACAAUUGGCACUGUAUGCAGAAUUUGUAGUUUUUUUUUGUAUACUGCACUUAUAUGAUUUGCAAUUAUAAGAGUUUUGAGUGAUUUGUCACGUUUUAGAAAAAGUCACAGCAUACCUUUUUUCGUUUUAUUUGAAUUUAGUUAGAGGGUACUUUUAUGAACUAUUACACUUUAUUUGAUUGUAUAAAAUUGUAUUUUUAAAUUUUAUAGGAUAUUGGUCAGCACCUAUUUCACAUGUUCUCUAGUUUAGGUACUAACCACUGCAUAUCCUACAAGACUUGUCUGUUUGAAGUUGUCUAGGUCAUCACUAUUUGGAUCUUGUCAAAGUCACAUAGCUUUUCUUUGCCCAUUUUUCCUGAUUUACUUUUUUUUCCUGAUUGUUCACUUACUGCCUUAUAUACCCCAUCCCUUAACUGGUGCCAUUGUUUUAAUAUAAUGUUAUUCACUUCACCUGUCAGUGGUUUUAAUAUUGUGGCUGAUCAGUGUAUAUUUAUGUUGCUG